AUGGCCGAGUGUAAGGACGAGGCUCCGAGCCCCAUUCAAUGUGACUCCAAUCUCCAGUCAACAGGUGACACCAACUGGGAUUCCUAUGCUACCACAAUGAAGACAGCAUUCACACCUAAAACAGGAGCGAUGGCUAAUUUAAUACGUCCGAAGAGCGUCAGAAGAUUAGGCUAUACCUACUCGCUUAGCGAUCCUAUUCUGAACCAGACACUUUAUAAUGAGGAGUAUUGUUGGAAGGAGUAUUCUAAAGAAAAUAUGAUAAAAAGUGGGACUUCAAGAGGACUAAGGACCCAUAAGGCUCAUCUUGCUCAAGAUUCCUUUCAGUGGACACUCCCUAAAGACAAAGCAAUCAAACCCCUCCCUUCGGUAACCCUUCCGACCCAGGAAGAGAUAGUCCGGGCAGCGAUAGCAAAUCAGUUUGUUUCGCAGACCAAGAGGGACUUUGUGGAUGUGGCUGAAGCUAAGAGGACCAUGAAAAGGAUUCCCAUUGCCAUGAACUGGAAAGAGUUACUUCCCCGACCUCUGGACACUGAAUUUCGGCACCAUUACCAAGUUCCAGCUAAGAUUCCUGAACUGCAGGAUUUUAGUUUCAAAUAUGGAUGCUACUCAAGUCUGCCUGUUGCUUCCCAGGGUCUAGUGCCUUCCGUGCUGCACAGCUACAUACGGAACCAGGAGCGCACAAAGAAGCAGACCACCUACGCGAGUGACUACGGGAAAGCCUGCCUGGACUUCUUGAUGAUCUUAGACUCAUUUACUCCUUCCCAAAUCCAAAGGUACCUGCAAGGUGUUUCCAGCAAAGACAGACAAAUUCUUGAUCGCUUCAUCCAUUCUCAUUGUGACAUCCCUGAGGAGACAAAUGGGAAAGGAAAACGAAGUCACAAGAAGAGACCCUAAGAGCAAUGGACAUGCCCAGCUCAUCCCAGUCAUCAUCUAAUAAUCAAGGACAAAUAGGAGAGAUUGCUCCAAGUAUAUUGUGGUAUCAUGAAUAUGUAUGUUCUGUUGUGUUCUGUUUUUAAAUGAAACCAAUUAAAGUUAUAAAUCUCCCCCCCCUCCGCCCCAAUACAGCUUUAGCUGAGUGUCAUCGGUUUUGAUGUCACUUGUUUCCCUCUUUUUAUCUUUAUAGUUUUUGGUUUCAGUUCUGAGUUCCUCCCCAGAGAAGUUUCAGCUUCCCAAUAAUGAAAAUAUUUUAAUGACUUUCCAUUGUUGAUUUUUGUUUUGAAUGUUGUAAAAAAAUCAAUCUUCACUUUGGGGAAUUCUCCAAAGAUUCACUGUAUGUUGUUAAUCCAGUGUAUGAUUACAUCUUACAAGAAUAUAUGAGAAAAAUCCAUUUAUGUAGUUCUGAAAUCCUUAUUGUUGCCUUAACUGUAUUCUUGAACUGUCAGGUUCUGAAAAAAAAUACUAAAACAUCAGACAAUAAACAUGGUCUUGUUAAUCCCUGCAUUUUGGAGGAUUUCUUUACAUUAAAAAAAAAAAAGAUGUUUUUAUGUGAAUGGGUGUUUUGCCUGCAUGUAUAUACUGCUCCUUAUACAUGCAGUACCCUGGACAGCCAGAAGAGGGCUUUGGUCCACUGGAACUAGUCAUAGAGGACUGUUAGCCGUUUUGUGAGUGCUGGGGACUGAAUCAGGGUCCUCUACAAGAGCAGCCAGUGCUCUUAAUGGCUGAGCGGUCUCUCCAGCCUGCCCUACUCUAUUUUUGACCGCAGGAUUAUGCAAAGCGCCUCUGCUGACUAAUUUUCUCAUUACAUCGUCGUUUUUAAAAACUUGGUUGUUCUUGCUUUCAGAUUGAAUUGCAUUUGAAUUGUUACUAACAUCGCAAUUCAUCUGUUUCUUUUUUUUUUUUUUCUUCACAUCUACUCAGUGCACGUCCCUGCUACAAUUCUCUCCUGCCUUAACUUCAAGUCUGGUUUUUUAUCUUUUUUUUCUUUGUCUGGUGUGUGUGUGUGUGUGUGUGUGUGUGUGUGUGUGUGUGUGUGUGUGUGUGUGUGUGUGUGUUGUCUGCAUAUAUGAAUGUGACCAUGUGCGUGCUUGGUAGCCUCGGAGAUCAGAAAAGGGCACUAGAUCUCCUGGGACUGGAGUUACAGGGGUUGUGAGCCACCAUGAAGUCGCUGGGAGCCUGGGUCCUCUGCAAGAGUAUUCAGUGCUCUAACCACUGAGACACCUCUCCAGCCCUCAUUUGUAGCUUGCUCUCAGCUCCCAUAUAGAAAGGAUUUCUGCCUGAGUCUUGCCUUUUAGUGCGGCAAACUGUGUCUUUUGAUGCUAGAAUGUACUUAGCCCCACAGUGAUAGUGAUGCUUGAUUCACUUGAUCUGAGAUUUUCUGUACCAUUAUUGCCGUUUGCCCUUCUUGCUCUUCAAUGUUUCUACUUUUCUCUACCUUUUAAGCAUGCAGCUUUUUGUUUUCAUCCUUUAUCACACAUUAUUAUUACUAAAUUUAAAUUUCUGCACCCAAUUGUAUGUAUAAAUCAUCUAAUCCCUAUAUUCCCAGUGCCUUUAGCUCCUUACCUAUCCCCUUAUUUACUGAGGGGGGAAAAAAACAUUUUAUUUUCUCCACUUUGUUUUUUGCCUAUAAUUCCAUCCCCUGCACACAUAGCAC
Molecule: long non-coding RNA, 2590 nt
Filed under: Cricetulus griseus (Chinese hamster)
Lineage: Eukaryota; Metazoa; Chordata; Mammalia; Rodentia; Cricetidae
Description: lncRNA (ENSCGRG00000025986.1)
Source: RNAcentral